This 241-nucleotide ribosomal RNA is filed under the name uncultured bacterium. RNAcentral's name for it is "partial 16S ribosomal RNA". It matches the Rfam family "Bacterial small subunit ribosomal RNA", at positions 14 to 240 of the family's 1533-position model. The record is from RNAcentral.
GUAUCAUGGCUCAGGACGAACGCUGGCGGCGCGCCUAACACAUGCAAGUCGAACGAGAGAUGGAAGAGCUUGCUCUUCAAAUCGAGUGGCGAACGGGUGAGUAACGCGUGAGGAACCUGCCGUACAAAGGAGGGGGACAACAGUUGGGAAACGACUGCUAAAUACCGCAUAACGCCCACAGCUCGGCAUACGAGGCAGGAGGGAAAAGNGUGAUCCGCUUUGAGCUGGCCUCGGCGUCCGA